CAAUAGCGUAUAUUAAUGUUGUUGCAGUUAAAAAGCUCGUAGUUGGAUUUCUGGUGGAAGCGACCGGUCCGCCCCUCACGGGGUGUGCACUAGCGUCUGUCUUUUGCCAUCCUUGCGAAGAAGCGGUGUGGCAUUAAGUUGUCGCGCCGUCUGACUCGCAUCGUUUACUGUGAAAAAAUUAGAGUGUUUAAAGCAGGCAAUUGCUGUGAAUACAUUAGCAUGGAAUAAUAAGAUAGGACUUUGGUACUAUUUUGUUGGUUUGCAUAUCAAAGUAAUGAUUAACAGGGACAGUUGGGGGUAUUCGUAUUUCGUUGUCAGAGGUGAAAUUCUUGGAUUUAUGAAAGACGAACUACUGCGAAAGCAUUUGCCAAGGAUGUUUUCAUUG
This 385-nucleotide ribosomal RNA is filed under the name uncultured eukaryote. RNAcentral's name for it is "partial 18S ribosomal RNA". It matches the Rfam family "Eukaryotic small subunit ribosomal RNA", at positions 592 to 975 of the family's 1831-position model. The record is from RNAcentral.